CCGAGGUUGCUGCACGCGGCCAGUGAUUCGAGCGGGCCCUCGCGGAUGCUCUAGAUUAGAGUUGAUCCUGGCUCAGGAUGAACGCUGGCGGCGUGCCUAACACAUGCAAGUCGAACGGAAACCAAGCGCUUCGGAGACUUCGGUCAAUGUUUGUUUGGUUUUAGUGGCGGACGGGUGAGUAACGCGUGGAUAACCUGCCAUAUACAGGGGGAUAACAGUUAGAAAUGACUGCUAAUACCGUAUAAGCGCACAGUCUCGCAUGGGACAGUGUGAAAAACUCCGGUGGUAUAUGAUGGAUCCGCUUUUUGAUAGCCAGUUGGCGGGGUAACGGCCCAUUAAAGCGACGAUCAGUAGCCGGCCUGAGAGGGUGAACGGCCACAUUGGGACUGAGACACGGCCCAUACUCCUACGGGAGGCAGCAGUAGGGAAUUUUGCGCAAUGGGCGAAAGCCUGACGCAGCAACGCCGCGUGAGUGAUGAAGCCCCUCGGGGUGUAAAACUCUGUCAGUAGGGACAAAUUCUGAUGGUACCUACAGAGGAAGCAUCGGCUAACUACGUGCCAGCAGCCGCGGUAAGACGUAGGAUGCAGCGUUGUCCCGGAAUUAUUGGGCGUAAAGAGUUCGUAGUGCAUGUUAGUCUAGUGUUAAGCCGAGGCUCACUUCCGUUUCGCACUGGGAACUUGGCAGCCUAAAUGGCGGUAAGAGGCAAGGGGAAAUCCUGGGGGGGGAUCG
RNAcentral lists this ribosomal RNA (730 nucleotides) under uncultured bacterium. RNAcentral's name for it is "bacterial SSU rRNA". It matches the Rfam family "Bacterial small subunit ribosomal RNA", at positions 1 to 683 of the family's 1533-position model. The record is from RNAcentral.